This 244-nucleotide unclassified non-coding RNA is filed under the name Hevea brasiliensis (rubber tree). The record is from RNAcentral. Lineage: Eukaryota; Viridiplantae; Streptophyta; Magnoliopsida; Malpighiales; Euphorbiaceae.
AAAAAUAUAUUGACAAUUGUUCCUACAACCUUUACAUAGAACAAUUAUGAUACUGAAAAAGAUAAAAGUCAACAAUUAAGAAAUAAGAGAAAAGCAACUUAACCUGUCUGAACAUCCUGCAAUUGAAGAAAAUGGCAGGGAAUGAAGACAUUGAAGAAGACUCAAAAGAGCAUCCUAUUUCUAAUUUUAUUUCCUAUGACUCCUUGUCGCCUUCCUAUACAGCUUUUGUCUUGUCUGUUUCUUC